AGUGAACGCUGGCGGUAGGCCUAACACAUGCAAGUCGAACGGCCGCACAGUAAGAGCUUGCUCUUACGGGUGGCGAGUGGCGGACGGGUGAGGCAUACAUCGGGAUCUACUUUUUCGUGGGGGAUAACGUAGGGAAACUUACGCUAAUACCGCAUACGACCUCCGGCGGAAAGCCGGGGAUCUUCGGACUUUGCACGUGUGGAUGAGACGAUGUCGGAUUAGCUCGUUGGCGGGGUAAAGGCCGAACAUGGCUAGGAUCCUUAGCUGGCCUGAGAGGAAGAAUAGCCACACGGUAACUGAGACACGGCCCAGACUCCUACGGGAGGCAGCAGUGGGGAAUAUUGGACGAGGGACGCAAGCCUGAUCCAGCCAUACCGCGUGAGUCAAGAAGGCCUUCGGGUUGGAGAGCCAUUUUGUUGGGAGAGAAAAACAGCAGGUUAAUACCCCGCUGUUCUGACGGUACCCAAAGAAUAAGCACCGGCUAACUUCGUG
This 492-nucleotide ribosomal RNA is filed under the name uncultured bacterium. RNAcentral's name for it is "partial 16S ribosomal RNA". It matches the Rfam family "Bacterial small subunit ribosomal RNA", at positions 29 to 507 of the family's 1533-position model. The record is from RNAcentral.